CAGUACGACCGUACCGCAAACCGACACUGGUGCGCGAGAUGAGUAUUCUAAGGCGCUUGAGAGAACUCGGGAGAAGGAACUCGGCAAAUUGACACCGUAACUUCGGAAGAAGGCGUGCCCUAUUAGUGUGUAGUGAACAACGAAGCAUGAAUGGGUUGCAAAAAAUCGGUGGCUGCGACUGUUUAUUAAAAACACAGCACUCUGCAAACACGAAAGUGGACGUAUAGGGUGUGACGCCUGCCCGGUGCUGGAAGAUUAAAUGAUGGGGUGCAAGCUCUUGAUUGAAGUCCCAGUAAACGGCGGCCGUAACAAUAACGGUCCUAAGGUAGCGAAAUUCCUUGUCGGGUAAGUUCCGACCUGCACGAAUGGCGUAACGAUGGCCACACUGUCUCCUCCUGAGACUCAGCGAAGUUGAAAUGUUUGUGAUGAUGCAAUCUCCCCGCGGAAAGACGGAAAGACCCCAUGAACCUUUACUGUAGCUUUGUAUUGGACUUUGAACAGAUCUGUGUAGGAUAGGUGGGAGGCUUUGAAGCAGGGUCGCUAGAUCUUGUGGAGCCAACGUUGAAAUACCACCCUGGUGUGUUUGAGGUUCUAACCUAGGUCCAUUAUCUGGAUCGGGGACAGUGCAUGGUAGGCAGUUUGACUGGGGCGGUCUCCUCCCAAAGCGUAACGGAGGAGUUCGAAGGUACGCUAGUUACGGUCGGACAUCGUGACGAUAGUGCAAUGGCAUAAGCGUGCUUAACUGCGAGACUGACAAGUCGAGCAGAUGCGAAAGCAGGACAUAGUGAUCCGGUGGUUCUGUAUGGAAGGGCCAUCGCUCAACGGAUAAAAGGUACUCUGGGGAUAACAGGCUGAUACCGCCCAAGAGUUCAUAUCGACGGCGGUGUUUGGCACCUCGAUGUCGGCUCAUCUCAUCCUGGGCUGUAGCCGGUCCCAAGGGUAUGGCUGUUCGCCAUUUAAAGAGGUACGUGAGCUGGGUUUAAAACGUCGUGAGACAGUUUGGUCCCUAUCUUCCGUGGGCGCUGCAGAUUUGAGGAAGCCUGCUCCUAGUACGAGAGGACCGGAGUGGACACACCUCUGGUGUAUCGGUUGUCACGCCAGUGGCAUUGCCGAGUAGCUAAGUGUGGAAGAGAUAACCGCUGAAAGCAUCUAAGCGGGAAACUCGUUUCAAGAUGAGAUCUGCCGGGGCCUUGAGCCCCCUAAAGAGUCGUUCAAGACCAGGACGUUGAUAGGUCAGGUGUGGAAGCG
RNAcentral lists this ribosomal RNA (1248 nucleotides) under metagenome. Its description in RNAcentral is "bacterial LSU rRNA". It matches the Rfam family "Bacterial large subunit ribosomal RNA", at positions 1634 to 2875 of the family's 2925-position model. The record is from RNAcentral.